GUGAUCAGCGGUAGGGCACAGCGAUGUAGCAACCUCGCGUGCGUCUCUUUGGCUCUUCUCUCGUUAAAAUGGAUGCUCAAGCUCAGACUCAAGCCCAGACUUGGACUCAAGCUCAGACAUUGUUGAACUUGUAAAAGGAAAGCAGCAGCUUUUAACAUCAAUAAUCAUAAAAAUACUGAAAAUAGAACC
Molecule: long non-coding RNA, 189 nt
Organism: Nematostella vectensis (starlet sea anemone)
Lineage: Eukaryota; Metazoa; Cnidaria; Anthozoa; Actiniaria; Edwardsiidae
Exons: 2
Source: RefSeq, a predicted model, not a curated record